AGGUAUUGAAGAAGUUGCUCAAGGAUGAUGCCAUAUCCAAAGCAAGGAUUAAUACUGAGUAUUUUCGUCAAAAUGGGCUUAAAGCUUCAGGUCGUGGGUUCACGUCAUAACCCACGACCUGAGGCAUAAAUCAAUAAUGGGGUUCUCAAAGUUACUCACAAGUACAUCUUUUGGAGGUUCAUAUGGAGGCAUGUUUUCAAGUUCUGCUUCUGCAGCAGCAAGAAAAAGUUAGCUUUAAUUAUUCUAUGUUCCCGAGAUUCUUCUUGCUUCCUCAGGUCUUCCAUUUCUGUAUAUUUUUUCCUAAGGGGUAUUAGAAAGAAAUAUAAAGAAGUGGAACACGUGAGGUUGCAAGAAGAAUCUCGGUAACAAAGAAUCAUUAAAGCUAACUUUUUCUUGCUGCUUGUAAAGCAGAACUUGAAAACGUGCCUCCAUAUGAUCCUCCGAAAGAUGCACUGGUGAGUAACUUUGAGAACCCAAUUAUUGCACCUGAUCGGAGUAAGCUCUCAAAACGGCAUGGUGCAACUUCUGCGGCUCAGAUUCUGGAGCAGCAUAUCAGAAUGGUUCUCCCAGGUUUGAACGCUGAGUUAAAUUUCCAUAUGAUGAGUAUUGUUAAAGAGCUGCGAAUGUAUGGAGAAGCUAUUGAAUCUAAACAUUUUCUUCCUUGGUGGAUGGAAGGAGUCAGGAGAUGUCAACUAAAGAGUUGUCAGGUGGAGCCAGGAUUCACUACAUUUUCCAGUCAAUUUUUGUAAAGAGCUUGGAGGAAGUGGACCCUUGUGACGAUCUAUCUGAUGAUGAUAUCCGAACGGCUAUUCAAAAUGCCACUGGUCUUAGAAAUAC
Molecule: long non-coding RNA, 837 nt
Organism: Quercus robur (English oak)
Lineage: Eukaryota; Viridiplantae; Streptophyta; Magnoliopsida; Fagales; Fagaceae
Exons: 5
Source: RefSeq, a predicted model, not a curated record